This 92-nucleotide non-coding RNA is filed under the name Streptomyces cellostaticus. Its description in RNAcentral is "sodF sRNA". It matches the Rfam family "sodF sRNA". Rfam says of the family: Identified in Streptomyces coelicolor. The record is from Rfam by way of RNAcentral. Lineage: Bacteria; Bacillati; Actinomycetota; Actinomycetes; Kitasatosporales; Streptomycetaceae.
UCGUCCUGCCUCGUGAUCGUCUUCUCAACCUUCACGCGGGCAGGCGGAUGAACGGAAGACCCUCGUGAGGACGUGACUCACGGGGGUCUUCC